GACAGAGGUCUCGAGCGUUAGGCGGAAUCACUGGGCUUAAAGCGUGUGUAGGCGGAAUGGUAAGUACCUUGUGAAAUCCCACGGCUCAACCGUGGAACUGCUUGGUAUACUGCUUUUCUUGAGCCAAUUAGGGGCAGCUGGAACUAACGGUGGAGCGGUGAAAUGCGUAGAUAUCGUUAGGAACGCCAAUGGUGAAAACAGGCUGCUGGGAUUGUGCUGACGCUGAGACACGAAAGCCAGGGGAU
RNAcentral lists this ribosomal RNA (245 nucleotides) under uncultured bacterium. RNAcentral's name for it is "partial 16S ribosomal RNA". It matches the Rfam family "Bacterial small subunit ribosomal RNA", at positions 524 to 768 of the family's 1533-position model. The record is from RNAcentral.